UGGCUCUGGCAUCGAUGAAGAACGCAGCGAAAUGCGAUAAGUAAUGUGAAUUGCAGAAUUCAGUGAAUCAUCGAAUCUUUGAACGCACAUUGCGCCCGCCAGUAUUCUGGCGGGCAUGCCUGUCCGAGCGUCAUUUCAACCCCUCGAGCCCCUGCGGGUUCGGUGUUGGGGGCCUGCGAGCGCGAGCCCGUAGCCCCCUAAAUCCAUCGGCGGAUCCUGUCAGUGGACGGCCCUUGCGCAGUAGUUUUCUCCUCGCACAGGCGCCGCUCGGGCAUCCUGCCGCUAAAACCUAAGCCGCCUCCCAGCGAUGGGUAGCGCACUGGAAGUUGACCUCGGAUCAGGUAGGAAUACCCGCUGA
RNAcentral lists this unclassified non-coding RNA (358 nucleotides) under uncultured fungus. RNAcentral describes it as "partial contains 5.8S ribosomal RNA and internal transcribed spacer 2". The stretch from base 1 to 133 matches the Rfam family "5.8S ribosomal RNA", at positions 22 to 154 of the family's 154-position model. The record is from RNAcentral. Lineage: Eukaryota; Fungi.